UCUCUGCCCCGCACCCCCCAGGCCGGUCCCCGGCUGAGCCCUGCCCCCGGGGUCCCUCCCCAGCCUCUGGCCGUGUCCCCAUCAGCUGGCCAGGGUGCGUGCUCAGUGCCGAGCUGGGGGUGGUACCUGGAAAUACCGGUGAUACGCCGAAGCCUGGAACUCCAACGCCUGGGAAAAAAGCAACAGCCAGUGACAGCCGAUGACAGCAGUGGCAUUCUAGCGUGGACUGGGGACAGCCUGGCUGGGAUCCCUUGCUUACUCCAGGAACAGGAGCUGAUGCAAAAGCCGCCAUGCCCACCCUGGCACCUCUCUGGCUUCCCAGUGCUCCCCCAGGCAGCCUUGUGCCCAGCAGGGAAUGGCAGCAGCAUGGGGACAGCAAGCGGGAACGAGUGUGGCAGGACCAGGGACACAGUCCCACACCAGCCCCAAACUGCAGCACUCACCUGGCUGCAGCCCCCCAGCACCAAAACCUGCAGCACUCCGCUGCUGCUGCUGCUCCCUGCAGCCCAGCUCUGGGGAGCCUCACACCGGGACCAGCGUCACUCACCGAGGCCACCAACUCCGAGCCCACCGACUCCAAGGCCACCUACAAGGAGUAGCCUGGGUGAGCACCAGCAGGGACAGACAGUGUCCCCAGUAUCUGACCCACUCCUCAUCCAGUCCCAAGUGUGCUCAUCCUUUCUCAGGCAGCCCUGCUCCCACCAUGCCCAGAGGGAGCAUUCCUCCAGCUCCACCCCUCUAGGGGAGCAUCCCUCUGCCUGCACAUCCCCACUGCCUGGGCUCAGCUCCUGCCAGCACUUACCUGGGAGGCCACCAACCCCUGGGACUCCAACCCCAGGAACACCUGCCAGAGAGACACCAUUAACACCUACACCUGUCCUGCACAGCUCCAGCUCGGAGCACCCCCAGCCCCUGCCCAACCUGCUGGGGUGGCCCUGGCACCCAUGCUGGGAGUCCCCAGCACCCAUCUCACAGUACCAGAGGGGCUUCAGCCCCUGCAUGACACAUGAAGGAGAAAACUAUCCUCAGUGAGCCCAGAGCAGGGGGUACAGGUGGCACUUUGCACCCAUGGGUGAUGGCACACCCCUUCCCACGCCUGGGCCAUUGGGGCAAAGUGAGCAGGCAGGGGAUAGGAAGAGAGGUCAGCACCCCGAUGGCCGCAGGAGAAGGGUGUCUGAGGCGGCCCUGGGGCAGGAGGCAGGGGUACGUACCGAAUUUGGGAGGUUUAGCACCAGGCUGCACCCCUACUUGGGGGAUGCCUGCAAAGUGAGUGAGGACACCAUGGUUAGGACAGUCACCCCCACACCGCUCUCAUGUGCCACCACCCUCCAUCCCACCCGAAUCCCUCCCUGCCACCCCUUCAGGUGGCUCGGUGGCUUUUGGCAUUCCCAGCCACCACUGUCCCCAAGCAGGGCGGGACAAAGCAUGUACCUGCCCCGGGAACGAUGCCAGUUCCAGGUACUCCUACCCCUGGCACCAAGCCGGGCACGCCACCAACACCGGGUGUCACUCCAGGCACUCCGCCCACGCCAGGUACGGCCCCUGGCACCCCCCCAACCCUGGCACCUGUAGAGAGAGGGGUGAGGCAGCAGGCGUGAUCCCCACGCUCAGGUGGGAUGAUGUGCCAGGCCUGGGCGCUCAUGCCCAGCAUCCCCUGCACUGCUCAGUGCCACACCAGGGCUGGCAGGGAGCCUGAGGGGCUCCCCAGGCUGACUCACCAAAUUUAGCUGCCUUGGCUGCUGCUUUGGCUGCUGCUGCUGGACCUCCAACACCUGGGCACAGACAGCAAGGGGGGGUCAGCCCCUGGGGAGGCCUCACAGCAGCCUUGUCUGCAUCCCCCCAGGGGACACUGCUGAAGUUCUCCUCAAGCCUGUUGUGCCCCCA
This is a long non-coding RNA of Lonchura striata (white-rumped munia), 1884 nucleotides long. The record is from Ensembl. Lineage: Eukaryota; Metazoa; Chordata; Aves; Passeriformes; Estrildidae.